Molecule: non-coding RNA, 439 nt
Organism: Leptonychotes weddellii (Weddell seal)
Lineage: Eukaryota; Metazoa; Chordata; Mammalia; Carnivora; Phocidae
Source: RefSeq, a predicted model, not a curated record
UAGAUUCUCAUGAUGCAGUUUUGAGAUUUAACUCUGCUCCUACACGUGGCUAUGAGAAAGAUGUUGGAAAUAAAACCACUGUGCGCAUCAUUAAUUCCCAGAUUCUGACCAACCCCAACCAUCACUUCAUUGACAGCUCAUUAUAUAAAGAUGUCAUUUUGGUGGCCUGGGACCCUGCUCCUUAUUCUGCAAAUCUUAAUCUGUGGUACAAGAAGCCAGAUUACAACCUGUUCACUCCAUAUGUUCAGCACCGUCAGAGAAACCCAAAUCAGCCAUUUUACAUUCUUCAUCCAAAAUUUAUAUGGCAGCUUUGGGACAUUAUCCAGGAGAACACCAAGGAGAAGAUUCAGCCCAACCCACCAUCUUCCGGCUUCAUUGGAAACCAUCCUCAGGAAUAUUCAAGCAGAUGGGUCAGCCAACAUCUCCCAUUCUAAAAGCA